CAGUGUUUGUCAAGGGCUUGGGACGACAGGUGCACGCGAACAUGAGGACAAAGACCGAUUCUUUUCCGCAGGGCUGCAGCCACAGUUCACGUCCCUCCCACGCACGUCCGCGUUCCAGGCCCGGAUGCUCCGCGCCCCGGGCUCCGGCGAAGGGCACGAAGCCACUGAUUAGGAAGCGAAAAGGAAAAAAAAAGUCCCGGCUUCUAGAAAGACUUGAAUGUUCGACCCCUGCCUGAGUCUGACUUGGCCCUGCAACGCCACCAAGUACACGACUUGGAGUUUGUCGCCUACCUGCUCACAGGCCUCGGCGCGCGCGUUAAGGUGGUGGAGACGGCGGCCGCAGCCCUUCCCUCUCCAGUUUGCUUUCUAGAGGCAGGUUGAGAGAAGAAACGUGUGAGCGUGUAAUUACAGAAUGGGAUCAGGUGAGGAAGGAGACAGACCAGGUGCAGGAUGGAAAUGGGCAGGCGGUUCCUUUAAAAUGAAAUCUAACCCUUUGGGGCUGCGCCGGGCUGGCUAAAUUUGUCACGUGUCUGAGGCCUUAACUCCUGCCAGCCACCCAGAGCCCUUGUGGCCCGACUGUCACUUUGCCGGGUGGAUCCUGGGUCACCUUCUGAACUCUCUGCCUGCCUGGUGAGCCCCUCAGGGGCCAGGAAGCCUGGUCGUAUCUCACACUCUGGAGACUCAUGGGAAUUCCAUCUAACGCAUGUGGCCCAGAUCCCUUUGGUUUCGAAGCCAGGCACUGGUGAGACACAUAAAGAAUACUUCUUGAGGGGAUGGGCGUCCCCACACUCCAGCUGACUGUAGGAAGGACAGGAGGAAGAAGGGCUGUCAGCAAAGGAAUCAUGCUCAGGAAACCGUCCAUGCCGGAAGUCAGCCCGGGAGCCCUACUGGACCCAGAAUGUCCAUGUCACACACACAGGCUGGUUAGGAGAGACGAAGGGUUGAGGGCAAAAAACUGACUGAUCAGCCUCUCCUCCGGAAGUUUGGGCCCUCAGAUGUUGCCUCGAUUACCUAUCGCAAGGAAGAAAUGCCAGAAUUCACCCAGGCCCUUGCUGACGCAGGGCACUAGAGAGAGAGAAACCACUGGGCUGAUUAUCUUGGCUUUAUCCUCCACAUCUGUUUCAGCUCAGCAUCUCUGCUUCUCAUCUUUAAAGAGAUGGCUGCAAGGCUAGAGAAUCUCAGAGCUGGAAAGGGUCUGAGAGACCUCACAUCUCACCUCCUUCUUUCGGAGAUAAGAGCCGUGUCACUUGAGAGGCCGUGACUCACUCAAGGCCACACGGCGUGGGGGGUGGGGGGUGCGGGGUGGGGAGCUGGGAUUGCAGCUCUCCCUUCCCAGGCCAGAGCUUUUCCCAGUUCUCCAAGCUGCCUCUCGGAUCCCGCCAAGUUGUUCCCACGCUGGCCUGGUUUAGGCCUCAUUAGUAAGAAAAGCUGGCUGUGGUCCUUUCUCAUCCCCCCACCCCCACUGCCUCUCGAAAAAGAAAGGAGAUGCUCUUCCAGAACAGAGCCAGGAUGGUUUUGCUUGUCAUCUGAUGUCUGGGAGUGCCCAUGCCAGGCUCCACUCCAGGGGUACAGCUCCUUGCCCUCACAUGGUGUCAUAAAAGAAUUCACCCUCCUGCCAACCUUGAGCAUAGAAGGCCGUUUCUCAGCUGGGACUCAAGCCACCUUGGGGGCCAAGACAUCAGAGAGACUGUGCUCGGCUCUUACCAGCUGUGUGCUCCUUGGCCAAGGUCUGUCCUUGGAAGGCAGGUGCUCCCCAAGGAGUCCCAACCCCAUUUCCUGGCCAGUCACCUUCACCCAAGCCAAGUCGAGACUCUCUCUGGAAGGUGCUCCACAUCCAUUCUGGAAGGGAGGAAUAUUCCCACCUCCAGUCCUUUUUUUAUUUCCAGCCACACUUCCAGUAGUCAUGUACGGAUAUGAAAGUUGGACUAUAAAGAAAGCUGAGCGCCGAAGAAUUGAUGCUUUUGAACUGUGGUGUUAGAGAAGACUCUUGAGAGUCCCUUGGACUGCAAGGAGAUCCAACCAGUCCAUUCUGAAGGAGAUCAGCCCUGGGAUUUCUUUGGAGGAAAUGAUGCUGAAGCUGAAACUCCAGUACUUUGGCCGCUUGAUGCGAUGAACUGACUCCUUGGGAAAGACCCUGAUGCUGGGAAAAAUUGAAGGCGGGAGGAGAAGGGGACGACAGAGAAUGAGAUGGUUGGAUGGCAUCACCGACUCAAUGGACAUAAGUUUGAGUAAGCUCCUGGAGUUGGUGAUGGGCAGCGAGGUGUGCUGCAGUCCUUGGAGUCCCAAAGAGUCAGCCACGGAGGAGCGACUGGACUGACUGACACUGCGUGGCUUAUGGGAUCUUAGUUCCCCGGUGUACAUGCUAAGUCGCUUCAGUUGGUUGACUCUGCGACCCUAUGGAUCAUUGCCCGCCAGGCUCCUCCAUCCAUGGGAUUCUCCAGGCAAGAAUACUGGAGUGAGUUGCUAUGCCCUCCUCCAGGGACUCUUCCCACUCAGGGAUGGAACUCCCAUCUCUUGCGUCUGCUGCAUUGACAGGUGGAUUCUUUACCACUAGUGCCACCUGGGAAGCCCCUUAGUUCCCCUACCAGGGGUCAAACCCCGGGCCCUUGGCAGUGAAAGCACUAACCACUGACCACCAGGGAACUCCCCCUCCCUAUUUUUUUUUUUUAACAGAUGUGGAAAUCCAGGUUCAGAGCGGUUAAGUUACCUGCCCAUGGUCACCCAGCUAGUGAGGGGCAGAGUCAGAAUUUGAACUCUGGUUCAAACCCAUCUCUUUCUGUGGCACCCCUCCACGUGCCCCAAAGGAGCUCGAGGCAUCUCAAGACACCCUUCCCGUGCUCAGAAGUAGUCCCCCCUGGCUUGCCUGGGUGCCUGAAACCCCCCCACUGGAGUAUCUGCUGCUGACCCCAGCCUUUUAAGCAGGAAAGGCCAGGGAUGGACAGGGGGAGGGUAUACAAAGGUUUGAUCAGGGUGGGACCAACCUGGGCCCCAGGGGCGAGGGCUUGGGGGCAGGGGAAGUGGCCCAGGGGAGAAAAGGCUGACUGGGGGAG
This is a long non-coding RNA of Bos taurus (domestic cattle), 3050 nucleotides long. The record is from Ensembl. Lineage: Eukaryota; Metazoa; Chordata; Mammalia; Artiodactyla; Bovidae.